UUAACUCAAAUUUGUAUGGAAUUGGAACGUUUGCCUACGUUUGCCGCUAGGGGCGCUGUUCCAACUCCAUACAAAUUCGAGUUA
This 84-nucleotide microRNA precursor is filed under the name Bombyx mori (domestic silkworm). Its description in RNAcentral is "mir-2807 microRNA precursor family". It matches the Rfam family "mir-2807 microRNA precursor family". The record is from Rfam by way of RNAcentral. Lineage: Eukaryota; Metazoa; Arthropoda; Insecta; Lepidoptera; Bombycidae.